CCAAGCUACUAAGAGCAUACAGUGGAUGCCUUGGUAUCGAGAGGCGAAGAAGGGCGUGGUUAACUGCGAUAAGCUUCGGGAAGGAGUAAACAUCCUUUGAUCCGGAGAUUCCCGAAUGGGUAAACCUGACUUUGAGAACCAAAGUCAGCUGUGUCUGAACACAUAGGGCAUGGCGGCCAACCGGGCGAACUGAAACAUCUAAGUAACCCGAGGAAAAGAAAACAAUAGUGAUUCCCCUAGUAGCGGCGAGCGAAAGGGGAAAAGCCUAAAUUUCCUUAAAUGUAAAGGCUGUGACCGUUGUUUAAGGAAAGGUUGUGGGGUUGGAUCGUUUUCCAUCACAGUGGAAAGGAGAAAGCAGGUCUUUUUAGCUGAAGCGCACUGGAAAAGGCGUACCAUAGAGGGUGAUAGUCCCGUAAGCGAAAAAAAGUAUUUGCAUCUCUGAUUUUCUCCCCAAGUAACGCAGGACACGAGAAAUCCUGCGUGAAUCAGCCAGGACCACCUGGUAAGGCUAAAUACUACUCGAUGACCGAUAGUGAACCAGUACCGUGAGGGAAAGGUGAAAAGUACCCCGGGAGGGGAGUGAAAUAGAACCUGAAACUGUGUGCUUACAAGCGGUGGGAGCCCUAUGGAUCUUUUAGCUUUCGCACGCCCUUUGGGUGUCCGGAAGCGGAGAUCAACGGGUGACCGCGUGCCUUUUGGAUAAUGAACCGGCGAGUUAUGAGGCGCAGCGAGGUUAAGUUCUUAAAAGAAUGUAGCCGUAGGGAAACCGAGUCCUAAUAGGGCGCAUAGUUGUGUUUUAUAGACCCGAAAUCAGGUGAUCUAUCCAUGAGCAGGGUGAAGGUGCUGUAACAGGUGCUGGAGGCCCGAACUGAUGAACGUUGAAAAGUUCUUGGAUGACUUGUGGAUAGGGGUGAAAGGCCAAUCAAACCUGGUGAUAGCUGGUUCUCCCCGAAAUAGCUUUAGGGCUAGCCUGGUAACUUAAUCCAUGGUGGUAGAGCACUGGAUAGAAUAUAAGGGGGCAACCUCUUAUAUCUUACCAAACUCCGAAUGCCGUGGGGUACGUUGCUGGAGUCAGACUACGGGGGAUAAGCUCCGUGGUCGAAAGGGAAACAGCCCAGAUCAUACGCUAAGGUCCCUAAGUGCGAGCUAAGUGCAUCAAAGGAAGUAGGGCUACAGAGACAGAUAGGAGGUUAGCUUAGAAGCAGCUACCCUUUAAAGAGUGCGUAACAGCUCACUAUUCAAGCGGUCUUGCGCCUAAAAUUUGCGGGGCUAAGCUCGUCACCGAAGCGAUGGAUUUCGUCUUUAUAUAAGGCGGAGUGGUAGGGGAGCGUUCUGUUGUAGGUUGAAGGUCUACCGAAAGGAGGGCUGGACGAAGCAGAAGUGAGAAUGCCGGUAUUAGUAGCGAAAAUAAGGUGAGAAUCCUUAACGCCGAAAACCUAAGGUUUCCUGAGUAAAGUAAUUCUUCUCAGGGUUAGUCGGGCCUAAGGCGAGGCCGAAAGGCGUAGCCGAUGGACAACAGGUUAAUAUUCCUGUACUGUCUGGAACGCGUUUGUAACUGAAGGAAAGACGCAUUGGAGUAGAUCAUCCUCCUGUUGAACCAGGAGGUCUAACCCGGUGGAAGCCGGGGAAUGGGACCCUGAGGCUCCGGCCAAUGGGGAACUGAUUCAACCCAGUGACAGGAAAAUUUCCUCCAGUGAGUAUUCCGGACAUCCGUACCGCAAACCAACACAGGUAGGUGGGGAGAGAAUCCUAAGGCGUACGAGAUAACUCCCGUUAAGGAACUCGGCAAAUUGACCCCGUAACUUCGGGAGAAGGGGUGCCUGUCCUUCGGGACAGGCCGCAGUGAACAGGCUUGGGCGACUGUUUAUCAAAAACACAGGCCUCUGCUAACUCGCAAGAGGAUGUAUAGGGGCUGACGCCUGCCCGGUGCUGGAAGGUUAAGAGGAGGAGUUAGGCAGUUUUGAUUUAUCUAAACUGCCGAAGCUUUGAAUUGAAGCCCCAGUAAACGGCGGCCGUAACUAUAACGGUCCUAAGGUAGCGAAGUUCCUUGUCAGGUAAGUUCUGACCUGCACGAAUGGCGUAACGCUCCGAGCGCUGUCUCAACGGGAGACUCGGCGAAAUUGUAGUAUCGGUGAAGAUACCGAUUACCUGCAGCGGGACGGAAAGACCCCGGCACCUUUACUGUAGCUUAUCAUUGGGUUAUAACUUAGAAUGUAGAGCAUAGGUGGGAGGCUUUGAAGCCGGUACGCAAGUACUGGUGGAGCCGUCAGUGGAAUACCACCCUUUCUUGGUUGUAAUUCUAACCUUCAGCCGUUAUCCGGUUGAGGAACAGUGAUUGGCAGGCAGUUUGACUGGGGCGGUUGCCUCCUAAAUUGUAACGGGGGCGUCCAAAGGUUCCCUCAGGACGUAUAAAAGUCGUCCGUAGAGCACAAAGGUACAAGGGAGCUUAACUGCGAGACAUACAGGUCAAGCAGAUGGGAAACCAGGGCUUAGUGAUCCGGCGGUUCCUUGUGGAAGGGCCGUCGCUCAUCGGCUAAAAGGUACGCCGGGGAUAACAGGCUUAUCUCCCCCAAGAGUUCAUAUCGACGGGGAGGUUUGGCACCUCGAUGUCGGCUCAUCGCAUCCUGGGGCUGGAGUAGGUCCCAAGGGUUGGGCUGUUCGCCCAUUAAAGCGGUACGCGAGCUGGGUUCAGUCCGUCGUGA
RNAcentral lists this ribosomal RNA (2702 nucleotides) under Elusimicrobiota bacterium. RNAcentral describes it as "bacterial LSU rRNA". It matches the Rfam family "Bacterial large subunit ribosomal RNA", at positions 3 to 2624 of the family's 2925-position model. The record is from RNAcentral. Lineage: Bacteria; Pseudomonadati; Elusimicrobiota.